UGGGGAAUAUUGCACAAUGGGGGAAUCCCUGAUGCAGCGACGCCGCGUGAGCGAAGAAGGUUUUCGAAUCGUAAAGCUCUGUCCUAUGAGAAGAUAAUGACGGUAUCAUAGGAGGAAGCCCCGGCUAAAUACGUGCCAGCAGCCGCGGUAAUACGUAUGGGGCGAGCGUUGUCCGGAAUUAUUGGGCGUAAAGGGUACGUAGGCGGUCUAUUAAGUCAGGUGUGAAAGCGUGAGGCUUAACCUCAUUAAGCACUUGAAACUGAUAGACUUGAGUGAAGGAGAGGAAAGUGGAAUUCCUAGUGUAGCGGUGAAAUGCGUAGAUAUUAGGAGGAAUACCGGUGGCGAAGGCGACUUUCUGGACUUUUACUGACGCUCAGGUACGAAAGCGUGGGGAGCAAACAGG
Molecule: ribosomal RNA, 403 nt
Filed under: Verrucomicrobiota bacterium
Lineage: Bacteria; Pseudomonadati; Verrucomicrobiota
Description: Verrucomicrobia bacterium partial 16S ribosomal RNA
Rfam family: Bacterial small subunit ribosomal RNA
Source: RNAcentral